CAGUAGCCGCGGGAAUACGUAGGGCGCAAGCGUUGUCCGGAAUUAUUGGGCGUAAAGAGCUCGUAGGCGGUUUGUCGCGUCUGGUGUGAAAACCUCAGGCUCAACCUGGGGCGUGCAUCGGGUACGGGCAGACUAGAGUGCGGUAGGGGAGACUGGAAUUCCUGGUGUAGCGGUGGAAUGCGCAGAUAUCAGGAGGAACACCGAUGGCGAAGGCAGGUCUCUGGGCCGCAACUGACGCUGAGGAGCGAAAGCAUGGGGAGCGAACAGGACUAGAGACCCCUGUAGUCCCUGUCUCUUAUAC
Molecule: ribosomal RNA, 301 nt
Filed under: uncultured bacterium
Lineage: Bacteria
Description: partial 16S ribosomal RNA
Rfam family: Bacterial small subunit ribosomal RNA
Source: RNAcentral